This 524-nucleotide ribosomal RNA is filed under the name uncultured bacterium. Its description in RNAcentral is "partial 16S ribosomal RNA". It matches the Rfam family "Bacterial small subunit ribosomal RNA", at positions 28 to 523 of the family's 1533-position model. The record is from RNAcentral.
GACGAACGCUGGCGGCGUGCCUAAUACAUGCAAGUCGAGCGCAGGAAACUGACGGAACUCUUCGGAGGGAAGGCAGUGGAAUGAGCGGCGGACGGGUGAGUAACACGUAGGGAACCUGCCUCAAGGAUUGGGAUAACUCCGAGAAAUCGGAGCUAAUACCGGAUAGUUCAACGGACCGCAUGGUCCGCUGAUGAAAGACGCUCCGGCGUCACCUUGAGAUGGCCUUGCGGUGCAUUAGCUAGUUGGCGGGGUAACGGCCCACCAAGGCGACGAGGCAUAGCCGACCUGAGAGGGUGAUCGGCCACACUGGGACUGAGACACGGCCCAGACUCCUACGGGAGGCAGCAGUAGGGAAUCUUCCACAAUGGACGAAAGUCUGAUGGAGCAACGCCGCGUGAGUGAUGAAGGUUUUCGGAUCGUAAAACUCUGUUGUAAGGGAAGAACACGUACGAGAGGGAAUGCUCGUACCUUGACGGUACCUUACGAGAAAGCCACGGCUAACUACGUGCCAGCCACCGCCGUAA